GGAAAUGGUUGUCAUUGCUAUGGUAAAAAUGGUAUGUAGGAAUUUCGGACGCGGGUUCAACUCCCGCCAGCUCCACCA
This 78-nucleotide transfer RNA is filed under the name Klebsiella pneumoniae. Its description in RNAcentral is "tRNA-OTHER". It matches the Rfam family "transfer-messenger RNA", at positions 290 to 374 of the family's 374-position model. Rfam says of the family: Bacterial tmRNA, also known as 10Sa RNA or SsrA, is named for its dual tRNA and mRNA-like properties. The record is from RNAcentral. Lineage: Bacteria; Pseudomonadati; Pseudomonadota; Gammaproteobacteria; Enterobacterales; Enterobacteriaceae.